CUAAGAAUAUUCCGCAAUGGACGGAAGUCUGACGGAGCGACGCCGCGUGGAUGACGAAGGCCGAAAGGUUGUAAAGUUCUUUUGCUGGAGAAGAAUAACCGCAGGAGGGAAUGCCUGUGGGAUGACAAGAACCGGCGAAUAAGCCCCGGCCAACUACGUGCCAGCAGCCGCGGUAACACGUAGGGGGCGAGCGUUGUUCGGAAUUACUGGGCGUAAAGGGCAUGUAGGCGGCUUGGAAAGCCUGGCGUGAAAGUCUGCAGCCUAACUGCAGGGGUGCGCUGGGAACUGCUGAGCUUGAGUGACGGAGAGGGAGCUGGAAUUCCUGGUGUAGGGGUGAAAUCUGUAGAUAUCAGGAAGAACACCGAUGGCGAAGGCAAGCUCCUGGCCGAUGACUGACGCUGAGGUGCGAAAGUGUGGGGAUCAAAACAGGAUUAGAUACCCUGGUAGUCCACACAGUCAACGAUGUGCACUAGGUGCUGGGGCGGUAGCUUCGGUGCCGGAGCGAACGUGGUGAAGUGCACCGCCUGGGGAGUAUGCUCGCAAGGGUGAAACUC
RNAcentral lists this ribosomal RNA (554 nucleotides) under uncultured bacterium. RNAcentral describes it as "partial 16S ribosomal RNA". It matches the Rfam family "Bacterial small subunit ribosomal RNA", at positions 355 to 902 of the family's 1533-position model. The record is from RNAcentral.